UCGCAUUGACGUCAGCGCCGCAA
This 23-nucleotide microRNA is filed under the name Branchiostoma floridae (Florida lancelet). Its description in RNAcentral is "bfl-miR-4856b-5p". The record is from miRBase by way of RNAcentral. Lineage: Eukaryota; Metazoa; Chordata; Leptocardii; Amphioxiformes; Branchiostomatidae.